This 239-nucleotide ribosomal RNA is filed under the name Escherichia coli. Its description in RNAcentral is "partial 23S ribosomal RNA". The stretch from base 98 to 239 matches the Rfam family "Bacterial large subunit ribosomal RNA", at positions 1785 to 1924 of the family's 2925-position model. The record is from RNAcentral. Lineage: Bacteria; Pseudomonadati; Pseudomonadota; Gammaproteobacteria; Enterobacterales; Enterobacteriaceae.
UGAAGGAACUAGAAAAAAGGGAGAAAAAAAAUCGAAAGCAAGAAAGAGGAGAGGGAGGGGAAGCGACGGGCGCGUGGAGCUGAAAUCAGGCGAAGAUACCAGCUGGCUGCAACUGUUUAUUAAAAACACAGCACUGUGCAAACACGAAAGUGGACGUAUACGGAGUGACGCCUGCCCGGUGCCGGAAGGUUAAUUGAUGGGGUUAGCGGUAACGCGAAGCUCUUGAUCGAAGCCCCGGU